This 1640-nucleotide long non-coding RNA is filed under the name Bos indicus x Bos taurus (hybrid cattle). RNAcentral's name for it is "lncRNA (ENSBIXG00000026045.1)". The record is from RNAcentral. Lineage: Eukaryota; Metazoa; Chordata; Mammalia; Artiodactyla; Bovidae.
AAAGCUGCCCAGAUUCAGGCACAGACCCUCUCUCUCCACGAGAGGGGAGUCAGAGCACUUGUGGGCAUGUUUACAACUCCACAGGGAGGGCAUCGAUACCUGGCCAUGCCUGCCGCACCCCCCCACCCCCCCGGGCCAUGGGAAGCUGGGACAGUGAGUGUGGAACGCUAACGGGACAACUCAGACUCAGGUUAGCGCUGACCUCAGCAGCCCAUCACUGCCUCUUGGCCAAAAGAAAAAACUUUCCCCCUAUUUAUUUAUUUAGGCUGUGCUGGAUCUCAGUUGCCACACACGGGCUUUUCCAGCUGUGGCAUGAGUACUUAGUCGCAGUAUGUGAGGCCUUCAUUCCCUGAACAGGGCUUGGACCCUGGCCCCUCCACUGGCAGAGCAGCGUCUCAGUCACUGGUCAGCAGGGGAAGCCCGUUGGCGGGGUCUGGGGUGCUGGUCCGGGAGGACACGCUCCUGGUGGCCAGCAGGGGGCGCCCAGCAGCCCUUGGCGUCCCCAGGUCAGCAGCGGGCAGGAGAGGGUGCCUCUCUGGACACCGUCUGCCUCCACUGCCCAGCAAGGAGCCCUCGAGGGGGCCCCAGCUGUGUCCACACCCCUCCCUACGGACUCCAAAUAGGCUGUUGCUGGUUUUCCUUGCUUCUCACCAGCUGCGCCAGCUCCACGAGCCCCCUGGGGCCACACCCCAGGCGGGGCUCCGGCACUGGCUUUGCAACCUGGCGGGUCGCGAGCUGGGACAAACCACACCCCUGGUCUGGACUUUGGGCUUCCCCAGAGGUGUGGGCUGUGAUCCCGAGGCCUGUGUGCAGGUGUUUGAAGCAUCAGAUCGUUCUCUCUGGCUGUCCCAGCUCUCAGCUGCAGCACGCGGGGUCUGGUUCCCUGACCGGGGGUCGCACUCAGCCCCCGACGCCGGGAGCACAGACUGGUCGCCCCUGGGCCACCAGAGAAGUCCUGUGGCGUCAGCAAGAAAGACAGAAAGAAAGAAAACAGCCUGUGGCAGCCAUCCAGAACCAGGGCCUUCAGAGGCAGAGGGGAGAGUGAGGCCUUGGGGCAUGGAGUUGCCGGGAGGGACCACUUUUCAGGGAAUCGGCCGUUAAACUUCUCAGGACUCGGGGGAGCCUGGCCUUGGGUGCAGCCUGCUGACCUGAUGGCACAGGCCUGUGGGCUGAGCGCUGUGUGACACUGUGGGUACCAAGCAGGCUGUGAUGGCACUGGGGGGCACCCUGGCGGCUCAGCCCUUCCGUGGCCCCCUUGCCUUACCCGCUCUCUGUACCUGGGCACCGCUUCAGUUUCCCUGCUCUGGACCUCUUACCGUGCCUGUCUCUUGAAUCCUCCUUUCUGGGCCCAGACAGUUGAAGAGAUGGCCCCAAAUGGCAGUGCCACCAGCUUUCUGACCUGGAAGACUGCCACCACCUGGAUGCCACUGUCCAGGCCCCAGCCUGGGAUGGACCUCUGAUGGGCUGACAUUUGCCAAGUCAGGCCCAGACUGAACAAAACAGAAGCUUCAAUCCCAACUCUGCCUUUCUCUCUGUGUGACGACGGGUGAGACACAGAUCUUUCUGAACCUCAAUGUUCUCAUCUGCAAAAUGGAAAAUACACUAAUAAAGCUGUAAUAAGUUGUGGGGGUGAAUCCUGU